Clupea harengus (Atlantic herring) is the source of this 15493-nucleotide long non-coding RNA. Lineage: Eukaryota; Metazoa; Chordata; Actinopteri; Clupeiformes; Clupeidae. The record is from Ensembl.
GCUCCUGUCAACAUGUUCUGAGGCAAAUAGUUAGCAUAUUGAGGAAUAGGAGAGUCGGGAGAGAGAGGUCUAAACUCCAAUGACGUAUGAGAACCUGGUGAGGAUGGUCUCAGCUCUUUCAACCAAUGCUCCAGGAAAGACAGCUUGUAGUCAGACUCUGAGGAUAGAGAAUCAGGUGACAGCGGUCGUAGUGCCAUCACACAUUCACCAACCACAUUUUUGAAUGCCUCAUCUGAUCCUGAUAGAGGGGACUCUGGUCUCACCUCAUAUGGCACUUGUUCAUAGUUCCAGUUGGUAUCAAAGUACUCUAUGUCUGAUGUUGCUGAGUGAGGAGAUGCAGAUCUGUUCCACUGAAUGGCAGGCACUGUAGACAUAUUAAAUUGAGGUACAGGGGAGUCAGGAGUAAGGGCUCUAGUGAAGGAAUUAGACUCAGAUGAAGGCCUGUCCUCAAGGAAGAAGUCUUCCAGAUAAUACUCUUCGCUCUCACUGUCUGAUAUUGCAGAAAUGGGAGAUAAGCUUUGGAUACCAGUGGAGUGCAUUGAGAUAGUCAAUGGAAUUUCAUACUGUGGAACUGGAGAGUCAGGGGAGAGCGGCCUGUAUUCAUCGAGUGAUGAAAUAGAUUCAGGAGAGAAGGCUCUCACUUCUUCAAGCCACUUUGAGAAAAAUAAGCAGUAGUCUGUUUCAGAUAUCAGUGACUCCGGUGUCAAUGGUCUAUAUUUAGUCAAAUAUUUACUGGUGGUUUCAUCAUCUAAAAUGACUGAUUCUGGUGAAUCGGGUCUGUCCUCGUCAAACAACUCUGCCAGACAGAGGUCAGAGUACUCAACAUCUGACGCUAGAGAUACGGGAGAUGAUGAUCGUUUACCUGUGAAGUUUAACAGUUCAAAUGUCUGGCAGCCAUAUUCAGGAAUAGGUGAAUCAGGAGACAGAGGUCUACAUGCAUCUGGUGAAUAUGAUGAAUCUGGACACCACGUUCUGUCUUCAUUGAACAACUCAUUCAGACACAACUCAGAAUACUCAAUGUCUAGGAUUGGUGAUGUAGGAGAGGAUGAUCUACUUCCUGUGUAGAUUGACGUCUCAAAUUUCACAUUACCAUAGUCAGGAAUAGGUGAAUCAGGUGAGAGGAAUCUACCUUCAUCACAUAAACACAAUGGUUCCGGUGAAUCUAUUCUCCCUUCUUGGAACAAUUCCUCAAGAUAAAGAUCAGAGUAUUCAAUAUCUGACGCUAAAGAUACGGGAGAUGAUGAUCGUUUACCUGUGAAGUUCAACUGCUCAAAUGUAUGGCAGCCAUAUUCAGGAAUAGGGGAAUCAGGAGACAGGGGUGUAUAUUCAUCUAAUGAUGUAAAGGCUUCUGGUGAGGACGUUCUUUCUUCCUCUAACCAUUCAAGGAAAGAUAAUGAAUAGUCAUUUUCAGAUGUGAGGGAGUCUGGUGAUAUUGGUCUAUGCUCACUCAGGCCUCUCACAGUCCCGUUGGUGUUUAUUUCUGAUUCCAGUGACUCUGGUCUGUCUUCACUGAACAACUCUUCAAAACACAUUUCAGAGUAUUCAUUAUCAGAUACUAGAGAUAUGGGAGAUGAUGUUCUAUUACUUCCAUAGACAAACUGCUCAAGUAUUGGGCAAACAAACUCAGGAAUAGGUGAAUCAGGAGACAGAAGUCUACCUUCAUCACAUAAACACAAUGGUUCAGGUGAAUCUAUUCUCCCUUCUUGGAACAAUUCCUCAAGAUAAAGGUCAGAGUAUUCAAUAUCUGAUGCUAAAGAUACGGGAGAUGAUGAUCUGUUGCUUCCAUAGACUAACUGCUCAUAUUGAUUACAGCCGUACAGAGGAACAGGUGAAUCAGGAGACAGAGGUCUACAGGUAUCAUAUGAAUAUGAAGAUUCUGGUGAAUUUGGUCUGUCCUCAUUGAACAGCUCAUCAAGACAAAAUUCAGCGUAUUCAAUGUCUGAUGCUAGAGACGAAGGAGAUAAAGAUCCAUCACUCAUGUAGAUGAACUGUUUAGAAGUAGGAUGGCCAUACUCAGGAACAGGGGAAUCAGGUGACAGUGGUCUAUGUCCAUCAAGUGACAUUGUUCCUGGUGAAGGCAGCCUUGUCUCAUUGGGCCACUCUUCAGAAUAGACAUCAUACUCAAUGUCACUUUCAGAGGCUAAAGAAUUAACAGAGGAAGAUGCUGCUCCAACCACAGAAAUGAAUACUUCAGGUUGGGGACAUUUGAACUGAGGAAUUGGUGAGUCAGGACAUAAUACUUCAUCCUCUGAUGACAAAGAGUCUGCAUAUUCUGGUGAGUUCAAUGUGUACUCAGAGUACAACUCUCCCAUGUCUGAAUCUGAGGAUCCAUUUUCAGAAUAUACAUAUCCAGGAGAGCAUGGUCUAAAGCCAUUAAUUGAAUUGAUACACUCAGGGACUCUGUAGUCAGGCACUGGGGAGUCAGGAGACAUGGACCUAAACUCAUUCUGAGAUGCAAUAGAUUCUGGAGAAGAUGGUCUACUGGCUUCUGGUGUAAAACUUAAGUCUUUGUUUCCUCUAACUUCUGAGGCCAGUGCUAAUGGUAAGUUUCCACUUCUGGCCACCAUGACUUCAGGCACAUUUCUAUACUUUGCAAUGCAAGGCAUCAGCUGUGGCUCAAUGCUAGGCUCUGGCUUCAUCUCACCUAACCGGGGUACAUAGUCUUUCAUACAUGUAUUGAGUAAACAAGGCCUUCUUUCAUUGAAAUGCCCUUCUAACCCUGGACCCAGGGGGCUGCCACCUAAAGAAACACCCAAGGACAAUUCCUGUCCUGAGAGGGGUGUUUCAGGAGGCACUCUUAAGUCUAGUUUGGAUAUCACAGCCUCUGCAAGCAUUCUCUCUUCCAAUGGGACAAGACCAUGCUCUACAGGUUGUGAGAAUGGCUGGGGACCUGAGAACUUUACUUUUUCAGAGGGAGAUGCAGGGAGUGCAGAUGCCUUAUUACAUGACCUGGAAGUCCUUGGCAUAAAUACAUUUGAUAUGUAUGAUUUUCCUUGGCUGAUAAAAGAUGUCUUUGCUCGCACCACUGGAUUAUCCUUAUCAGUUUGCCCACUUGAUGAACUGGCAGAGUCAUUUACCAGCUGAUCAUAUUUGGUGUCAUGAUGGGGGUGUAAUGUGUCUGUUUGGGUGUCCCAUGGUUUUGAGGCUCCCUGUAAUGAUUCAGGACCUUGGAAAGGGAGUCUUUCUUGUGUUAAAAUGCUCUUCUUAGACUUGAUUGGGGCUGAGUUAUUGAGAAAAGCCUGAUGCAGACUUGUGGUUUCAUAAAGUUCAUCAAUAAAGGGUAUGAGGGGUUCUUCCCUGGGACAAGUUUGGGCCUUCAAAGCCUUGCUUGCCCCACCAAGUUUGGAGUUUGUACAGUGUUUAUCUGGGUCGUCAUCCUCUACAAUGGCCAAAGAAACUGUGUGAUUCUCAGUUGAUCUUGUGUGACCAUGCUCACAAACUACACUGCUUAAGUUCAUGUCAACGAGGUCCUCUCUGAGUUCAGUUAAUAGCUCACUGAAAUCUGUCUCAGCUUGGUCUGACUCUGAGAGACAAUGGCCAAAGUCUUGAAUAGAUAUAGGUGCCAGUGGAUUAACAGGUCUGGGAAAUGAUGACCUUGGAUCGCCUUGGAUAAGUUCCUCAUCGCCCAUUGUAUUUUGGGGAUGUUUUCUCAACCCAGACUGAAAUCCAUGUUCAGUGGAGUCCCAUGGUACAGGUGCAGCAGCACCAACUGUGGACUCAGUCAUAGGAUUUGUGUUUUGCGGUGGGGAGACCCUUCUGUAUUGUGGAUCAUACACUUGCGACAUCAGCUUCGAAGGCUCAGCAGUAUUGUCAAAAUGUAGAUGACUUACUUGUCUGUCAAGGCCCUCAUUUGAUGACCCAGCCCUCAUCUCUCGAGCAGCCCAUGGGUUGGUGAUAAAGUCCCUAAGGAAAAUGGAAAAUGAGGUGUAUGUUAGUGCUGAUUUACUUCAAUAAAAUGGCCACAAAGAUCAAAUCAAAUAAUUUCUUUACUAUUUUUCGGUAUUUCGACCUACUGUGUAAUGUCAAGUUCUUCUAGGAGGUCUCCAUGCAUGCUUUCAGAAUGGGUGUGCCCCGCAGGCUCUGACCAGGACGGGAUGUCCAGGAGAGAGGCCACGGACAGGUCUUCCUCAGAAACCGCUGGAGGUUGCCGUUGUGAGGAUUCCACCCUUCUUACCAGUCGCGGACUUUCUACAUCUUCCUGAACUGAGGAGAGAGCUGGACACAGAAACAUACAGAAAAGUGUGUAUGGAUGCAUACACACACACACACACACACACACACACACUCAGUGGAAACUGAAUAGCUAGAAGAUUAAACUUCCUCAUGCAGUACAACAAGAUAUGUGCAUUUGAUGUUGUCAUUAAGCCACUGCUUAGUAACCACUGCGGGGUAGUAUUUGAAGCCAAAGAUGUGGCCUCAAAACAUAGCACAUAAAUGCAAUACCGUGUUGAAUGUUUUUAUUAUGUGUUUAUAGCAUUAGCUGACCAAUACAUUCUACCUUCACUGUGAUCAAGAGUCCUCUCAAUUUCUGCAUACGUCCGUGAGGUCUGCUCCUGGACUGACUUGUUCAUCUGUGUCUCAAGGAGGUGGACUAUGUCCAUGCGAUUUAUUGCAGUGAGCCUCUUGAUCAAGCAAUCCUCUGCGAGGAUAAAUGACAUAAAAUGAGUUAUGCCUAUCCACACAUUAAUACAUUUUUUAAUUCAAAACAGAUUAAGAAUAGGGUUUGGGUAGUAUGUACAAAUGUAGAAAAGGGUGAUGAGCUCAUAUUCACCAGUGGCAUGCUUCGCCUCACGCUCCACCCAGCGCUGCAGCAGUGCCUGACUUUGCUCCUGCAAGGAGUUUGGGUUCUCUGACCGCACCAGCUGUAUUUCAUCCUCAUUGAACUCCAGUUCUUUUGCCAGCUCUGGAGAAUUUUACAUUUAUUGAAUCUUAUGUUUUAGAAUCCCUCUUUGCGAGCAAGCUCUGAUCCAGUAAGAUUCAUUUAAAAACAGAGUAUAUAUAAUAUCAGGGAGAUUGGUGGUCAUCACAUCCACAUUCAUUAGCAUAUGAGACUUACCAGUCCAACUAAACCCAAGGAGGUCAGAAACUAUUGCCAAUGUUUCUUCCUUUCUGUCUGCAUCUUCCUGCCAGUCCACUGGAAGUUCACACAAAUCAUUAAGAGUAAGAUACCAGUACAAGAGUAAAAGACCAGAGGCCACAUAUGCUGCUAGAACUCAAUUUAUUAUAUUAAUUGAAAGUGGAAAUAUCUGCCUAAAAACCUGUAAGUGCUGCUUCUUUGUCAUGGUCAGUUCUAUCUUUAUUAAGAAUGGCAUAAACUAGCUGAUCUGUGAUGACUGAAAAAACUUGACCAAGGAAUCUAGAGUAGCACACUCAUGUUUAGUACCUCGAGAUUAUUAAGUGCUUUUCACAAUGUUAACAUAUACAUAUGCAUAUGCCUUAAGACCCACUGAUCAGAGCAGACGCAGUAGGUAGGGUCAAUCAGAAACCCAGUAUUGUUUAUAUGGAGUAUGUGAUAAUAUGAUGGUACAUUCCCCAUAUGGAGGUUGCCUCUGAAAUGGAUCUGGCCCUGAUUGGUUCCAUACUUAGCUGUCUGAGUAGAACUAUAAUCUACUUAUGUGAUCUGAUUGAAAAAAAUAGACCUUUCUAAUUCACUUCAGCUGCUAUCUGAGUAGAACUAUAAUCAAUCUACUUAUGGGUUCUGAUUAAAACGACUUUGUUAACAUGACUUCUAAUUCACAUCAAUUAUGUUUCAAAAUCUACUUAUGUGUUCUGAUUAAAAUGACUGCGUUAACAUGACUUUUCUAAUUCACUCCAGUUAUGUUUCGAAAUCCUGGAUUUAUGCAACAGUGAAAUAUGGUAAACUAAAAUAAAAGUUUAGAGAUGUGGAUAUACAUAAGGACCCACUAAUCUUGAGACCUUAAACAUGGAAGUGGUGCACUCAUCAUUUAUAAUUUGAUCAUUUUUAUGUCAUUUCUUUUUCCACUGUCCAUGCAUGGAACUCACACCUGUAAAAGGAGUGUAAAGUACCAUGCUGAAACUAGCAACAGCAUGUUAUAAAAACUAUGUUAGAUUUUCAUGUUUGGGUUAGAAAGACCUUCCAUGCAAAUGACUAUGGAAUUCAGUAAUGCUUAUAAAAAUGGGUUAUCACAUGUUGAAUUUGACGUAUACAGUGCCACAUGCAGAGUAGUUUUAUUCUAUUAUCAGAGCAUUUCUGACAUUAAACUAAAAAGGGAGAGAGUCAAUCUUGAGAUUGGAAAUGUACACAAAGAUGGCUGGAUGGAAAGGCAGCAGAAAAAAAGUGAGCUGAUAACUGAACACACAGAAACACAGAGGACAACACAAGACAACAACACACAGCACAAAACAACACACAACACAGUGACAAAACAGAACAACAAAGAGGUGACGAUGGACACUUAGGCAGGAAAAAGAGGUCUUUUGGUUGAGGGAAGUAGAGGAAAAAGAGAGGGGGACAGACCCAUUGAGAUGAUACCUUGACAUUGUUCUGAGGUAGCGCUGUCAGAGAUGCGCUGCAUCUGAGUCUCCACACAACUGUCCCAGUGGGGCCUUGACUCAAAGACAUCAUCUGUAAUGGAGGAAGGCCGUACCCCUGGAACAGCUCUACUCUCUGCAUCUGGAGCACAAGAGGCUCUCUCAUUCUGUUUGGGGUCUCCAGAGCCAGGCAACUCUGAGUUGCAAGAGGUCUUACUGAUGUGACGAGAUGUAAUGGUUUGUUCAUGUGAGAUACUGUGCUGGAUUUUUUCAGUGUAAGAAGAAUGUGAAUGUCUGUGUUUACUUAUGACUGGGAGUCUUGAGCUAGAGAUCUUUGGUUUGGUCAAGGACUGACUCCUCUCUGAAAGACUACGGGUGUGUGUAGUAGAUAAGAGAUGCCCUGUGUGUUCAUCACCAGCAUCAGACUUUGAACGAUGCUCCUGUAGAGGAGUCUCUGAUUUUUUUGCAGAGCUUAUGUCUGAUUUCACUGAACCUGCUUUCACUGGAAUCUUUGACUUGGAUUUAAUUUCUACUGAAAACACAGAGAUGUCAUCUUGAGGGGGAUCUGAGAUUUCAGAUGCAGUGGAUUCAGUGAGACUGGUGUGGCCCAGCACGUCGUAGGUUAGGGAGGGAAUUUCAAUAACGGAUUGCGGCUCAUCCUCAUUAGAGGAGUCAGAGGAUUCGGAAUCCUGAUCUGAGUACACAGACCGCGUGACAGUAGAGCUGGCUGUGUCCACAUCCAUUAUAGUGGACACUGAGGUGUCAGGAGGUUCAAGGAAAUCUCUCUCUUGGUGUGAAUAGUUGGGGCUACCAGGAUGAACGUCAAGUGAGUCAGACGGAGUGACAUUUGAGAAGUUGGAGGUCUGCGGUGUAGAAUCAAACUCUUCCUUUGUUUGAUCCUCUGUUACUGAGUCUCUGUUGUCCAUUUUAGAGUCUUCGCUUACAUCCAUAUCACUUUUUUCUGUGUCCUCCUCCACAGCAUCAUCAUUUAAUGGGAAAAAAGCUCGCUCUUCAAUCUCCUCUUCCAAGCUCCUCCUGGUCAUAUCAAUAGCACCACCUCUGGUCAUCUCAAAGAGCUUCCCCUCCUGGAAGAGGAAUGGAUUUGGAGUUCCCUCUUCUGUGGGCGUUCGGCCUGGUGUGGAAUCUGGUGUUUGCCGCUGGGGCAGCUCUUCCAAGGGAAGACCAAAAACCCUGCUUUCUUCAGCUUCCACUCGUGCCUUAAAACUUUCAUCAUCUUCUAAAUCAGCACUCCAUGGGACCAGAUCUCCUUUAAUAUCCUCAGGGAUGCCCGUUGACAGUGUGUCAUGAUUGGCAGCCUGUGAAACCUGAUAACUUACAUCUCCCUCCUGAAUGCAUAUUUUCGUGUUAAGAUCUUCCUGAAGAUUCUGUGUCACAGCUUGCGGACAGAGAGGGAGGUCAGCAGAGUGAUCGUCUUGUUUUACAGAUGAUAUCAAAUGAGCUCCACUGCUAUCAUCUAAGACAACAGAUACGGUAUUAUUGUCAGUGGCUGAGUAGCUGGACAUUCCUUGUUUUCCUGCCUCUUCAGUAGAGGUAAGGCACUUCAACAGAUCUGAACAAUCCUCCUCACUCUCAUCCACAAAUGUUUGCAUAGAUAUAAUAUCCUUUGUAUAGUCCUCUCUGUGUUCAAAGGCAUCUUUUUCCUGGUUUGUGGUCCCAGGUGAAUCAUCCUUUAAGACUCCUUGGAGUAGUUUAACCUCUUGAAGGCUAUGGCUUUCAGGUUUGGGAGAUGAUGACAGCAAUGGGUUUGGGUCAGCUGUGAUAUCAGAAUGGUCUUCCCAUGCCAUCCAAUCAUCUUGGGCUUGUGAUGGACUCUUGUGAUCCUCUGACUCCUCUAGAGCAAACCUGACCUCCUUCUUACUUUUAACGUCCUUCUCCAUUUCGUCAAAUGUUUUGAUUUUUGCUGCCAUUUUAAACAUUUCCUCUUCUGGAGUAAGCUGCUUCUGAUCUGUUUCUGAGUUCUGUUGGUCCAUAUCUUUGUCCGCAUUGUCUGAGGAGGAAGCAGAUAGAUUUGUGGACAUUGGAAGGCACUGUUGGUGAGAUGGAAUGCCAAACUCAAAAUCGCAAUCUUCAGAGGAAUAGGCUCUUUCAAAAUCAACUUCUCUUUGAAAGUCAACUUCAAUCCCUGAUCCAGGACUGAGUGGACUGUCGGGAGACUGAGCAGCUUGCUUUGGUUCUGAGAAAAAAUCUGCCCUCUCUCCUAUCGGGCUUCCCUCCAGGGAGUCUGGACAGGGAGAGUCUUUGGUUGGACUUGGCUCAAGCGAGUCAGGAGAUUUAUGUGAAGAGCCAUCCUCUAUGACAGGACUGACCUCCAGGGAGUCCCUACGACAUACACUGGCAUUAUCAUCCAUGACAACAGACCACAGAGCGUCUAUGUUUGAAGGUCUGGAUGGGGUAUCUAUUCCCUCUGUUCCAGAGCUUACAGUUAUCUGUCUGUCUUGUAUGGAUACCUCGGACUCUGCUGAGAAAGAGGAGCCAAAUGAGUCUCCAGUCAUAAAAUCUGAAGUUUUGGUAGGGCUUCUGGAAUUACUUUGUACAGCAUUAUCAUUCUCCUCCUGGGUGUUGGGGAUUACUUGGGGAAGUUCAGAAUAUCCCUCAUGUCUUUCUCCUUUAUCUAUACUUGUAUAAGGUGUAUCUCUUGAUGAACUGGAGCCAACUUCAUCUCCAUCAAGCUCAGGACCAGCAUCGAGAUCCUUGCACUGAAACUCUUUUGAAAUGAUAAUGGCUCUCUCCUCAUCCAAUUUAGAGGAUAAAUCUGUGUCAAAUUCUACCUCAAUACUACUCUCUCUUUGGUAUUCAAUCUGUGAAUUAUUAAUCCCUGAGCAAAAUAUAAAGUUGUUGUCCACUGUGGUAGACGUCUGCCUGAAAAUUUGGUACUCAGGAUUGGCUUCUAAUUCUGCUUUGAUGUCAGCACUGAAGUCCUCAGAGGUUCUCCUGUCUGGGCUAAUCUGAAACUCCUCUGAUGACAUUGGGUCUCGGCUCAGCCCUGGAGAUAGAAUAUUGAACUGUCCAGAACUAGUUACCCUUUCCUCACCAUUAAUUACCCCUGACUCAGUCUCUGGCUUCUCUCUUUGAAAUGUUUCUGACAUCUCUGAUUGAUUGUCAUUAUCACUGAUGGUUUUCGUUAGAACAACCUCCUCAAAACUUUCCUUAACAAUCUCCUGACUUAACGAACGAUCAGAUACAGCAGGUAUCUCCUCUAGGUACUGCUCUAGGUCUCCACUUAAAUGUGAGACCAUGCCAGAUAUGUCCUUCACCGAAGCUCUUGACGUGGAGAAUUUUUUGUCAAUUUUAACUUCUUGGAAGGCAGCUUCUUGUGACUGCUCUAGAACUGGAUCCUUAUUUGGUGAAUCUUCUAAACUGCUCCAAGGCUUUUCGAAGUCUUCUGAUUGUGUAUAAUCUGUACUUCUAACUCUACUUAACACAACCUCUUCCAACUUUUCCUCGAAAAUCCCCUGAUUUGCAGACUGAUCAUUCACAACUGGUAUUUUCUCUAAGUACUGGUCCAGGUCUCCAGUAAGAUGUGAGAGCAUGCUAGACAUGUCUUUCACUGGUGCUGAUUGUUUAUCAUCUACAAUGGUGACCUUUCUUAACAUAACCUCUUCAAAUGUCUCCUCUAUAAUGCCUUGACUUGCACAAUGAUCAGAGACAGCUGGUAUUUUCUCUAAGUAAAGGUCAAGAUUGCCAGUAAGAUGCGAGACCAUCCCAGACAAGUCUUUCACUGGGGCUGAUGAUGUGGGGGAUGUCUCUCUAGCUAUUUGAAACUCUUGGAGCAGAGGUUCCUGUAUCUGAUCUGAUGUAUUAGCCAAACUCUCAUUCUGAAAUGUGCCCUCAACCACAUCACUUGCCAUUGCCUCUGAAAGCUCACCCUGACUGUUAUCUUGUUUUCUCUCCUCUUUUGAUGAAAUAUGAACAAGCUCAUCUUUUGGUGAACUGCGACCAAACUCAUCUGUUGGUGAUGUUUCUAAACUAUCCCCUGAUCUCUCAAAUUGACAUGCAUCUGAUUCUUGAUCGUCUCUGGUGAUGACUCUACCCAACACAACUUCUUCAAAUGUCUCCUCUAUAAUGCCUUGAUUUGCAAAAUCAUCAGAGACAGCUGGUAUUUUCUCUAAGUACAGGUCAAGAUUGCCAGUAAGAUGUGAGACCAUCCCAGACAAGUCUUUCACUGGGGCUGAUGAUGUGGGGGAUGUCUCACUAGCUAUUUUAAACUCUUCAUAUAAAGGCUCCUGUAUCUGAUCUGAGGUAUGCAUCCAUCUCUCAUUCUGUGAUGUGCCUUCAACCACAUCACUUCUCAUUGCCUCUGACACCUCAGACUGACUAUCAUCUCCUCUGACAACCCUGCUUAACACAACUUGUUCAAAGGUCUCCUGGACAAUGUCUUUAUCAGGAGAAUGAUCAGGUGCGGAUGGUGAUUUCUCUAGGUACUGAUCAAGGUCCCCAGUCAGAUGUGAGACCAUUCCAGACAUGUCUUUCACUGUUGUCUUUGACUCAGCGGGAGUGUUUCUGUCUACUCUGACCUCUUGCAGAAUUGACUUCUGCAAUUGUGGUGAACAAGGACUUAAAUCUUCCUUCUCUGAUUUCUCUGGUCUAAUAACAGGUAUGUUUUUUUCAACCUCCUCUGGAACACAAGGUUUUUCAGGUGUGCUGACACCUCUUCUUAAAAUAACCUCUUCAAAUCUUUCUUGGACAACCUCCUGAUCUAAUGAAUGAGUUGUUGUUUGUAUUUUUUCUAGAUACUGGUCCAGGUCUUGAGUAAGAUGAGAGGCCAUUCUAAAUUCUUCCACUUGUAAUUUUAGUGGACUAGAAAUAAGCGUGUCAUUUUGAAAGUCUUCUGAAAUUUCAGAUUGUAUUUCAUCUUGGCAAAUCACUUUCCUUACAAUAGAUUCUUCAAAAGUUUCCUGAACAAUCUCUUGAUCUGAAGAUUCACUAGUAACUGCUGGAAUUUCCUCCAGGUACUGCCCUAGGUCUUGCGUGAGAUGUGAAAUCAUGCUGGACAUGUUCACUGCUGUUCUUGAGUCAGGGUAAGUGUUACUGUCCACUUCAGCAUCCUGCAAAUUGAUCUUGUAAUCUGAACUUCGCGAUGUAUCUGAACUGAUGCAAGGUUUAUCAAUCUGCAGUUUUUCUGGGAUGUCAGUUUGAUUUAUGGCUGUUUUCUCAGAAAUGCUCAGAUCAUGCCCAGGAGCAACUGUGUCAAGGCUAUCCUCAAUUUUGUCAGACUGAACAAAAUCUGAACGGAUGUCUUGCUGCCCAGAAAUACAUUUUGAGGUUAUUUGGCUUGAUUGACCAUCGUCUUCAUGAUUUGCUUGAAAGAUCACUGUGGUUGUUUUCAUGGCUUUGUGCUCAAAAAGGCCAGAUUUGCUUUUGGAUGGGUCUUGGCCCUCCUGAAAUGCUUUCAUUAAUUCCCUCACAGACAUAGUUUCCUCCAGCCUCUCAGUCUGAGAUCGGGGAGAUUUGGGGGACUUUGGAGGAGGUUCUUCACUCUCUUUCAGAUAAGACUUACUUUGAAUACCAGUCACUUGUGGAGGCUUCCGCUUACGGCUUAAUCCCUCCUCUUCUUCAACUUUAUUUUGAAGUGCUUUUACCCUGUCUUUAAUGGAGCCUAUAGGUCUCUCCUCCACCAGAGGUGAGGCUGGGAAUAGGCCUGUGGUGGAUUCAGGUUCACCAAGAAUGAUGUCUCCAUCCAGAGAUUCCUCAGAGCUGAACCUCUGCAGUUCAUCUUCUGAGCUUUCACCAGCACAUUCCCUGUCCCUAAUCUUUCGCCUAGCAGGCUUUUUGACUUUAGGAAGAUGCCGCCUACCAUCUCUGGUCGCCACAAUCUCAUUGGAUUUAUCCUGUGUAACUUCAUGUUUUGAAAGAUGAUCGGACACCACAAGUGUGCUAUUGAAAUGCUGGUCAAGGUCUGCACUAAGAUGAGUAGUUGCACUAGGCAUGUCCUUCACUGAUGUUGAAGAUGUGGAGGUGUCUCUGAAAAUUCGGAUUUCCUGAGAGUCAGUGUUAGCUUUAGCCUGUGUGAUUUCGGGUUCACUGAGAACUACCCAUUCCCCCUUCUUGUUUUUUGACCAUUGGGUGUCUCUCUCCUCUCCAGUUUCUGACAAUGCUCCUCCUCGCAGUAUUUCAUCAACUUUUUCCAGAUCCUCCUUUACUUUCCCCAUGAUUUCAAAAGGUUCUUCAGGAUCUUCAUGCACUUUUCUAAUGGUCUGUGAUUGCUUUGUGUCAUCUAAAGAGUCAGGUUCUUCAGAUAGGUCAGUUGUAAGGAUAGCCGACACUUUGAUGAGGUCUUGUUUCAUGUCAGACACCUCUGAGAGAAGGUCUGGACUUGCUAAUGUGGCUGGGUCAUUCACCAUGUGUGUUUGCAGGAUGGAUAAUUCAGUUGACUCUGUUUCGUCAUCAUCUUUUUGAUGACAUAAAAAUAAAUUUAAAAAAGGAAAAUGAAGGGGGGAUAAGAAGAAUCUCUGGUCAAGGCAGGAGAAUAAGUAUUUAUCUUCAGUUGACAGGACAAGGAGGCUGGUUCACAUGAAAAUGACAGACAUUACAUUUGACUGAUGGAUCCAGGAGACUUUGAGGUUGGCACAGCAACAGCAAAGCAAAGCAAAAAGAAGAUAAACCGUAUGAAAAUAGAUGGCGAGGAAAUAACUUGCUUAAACAUGUUACAUGUUGAACUGCAUAUUCCUCAUAUAUGAAGAAGGGAGCGAGGAAACAAAAGUACAAAAGAGAAUGUAAAUAAAGUACAAACAGAGGGGUUAAACAAACAAAUAAUUAAAACAAGCAAACAAACAAUAGAAUACAAACCAAAUGGACGACAGAAAGUGGAGAUAAACCAUCUCAAGAUUGUCAAGUGACAAAUCAGAACAGCAAUUUCAUUUUUUUAGUAAAAAAUCAUAUCAGUUUGACAUUUUUAGAAAUUAUAUUUUUUUUCUGUUUGAAUCCUCAGAGGCUAUGGCAAAGAAAGUCUGAGAUAUAAAUUGUUGUGAACUCUCAUUCACUUGAGGACAAAUGUAAAUGAAAGAAAACAUUCACUGAAAUGAUAACAAUAAUGGUGAACUGAAUGAAAGAGUGAGAUAAAUACAAAGAAAACUCAAAGUUUGGGAAAAUGCUUUCUUACAGCCAGAGGCAAGACCACAGGCACACAUACUGUAGUCAGUAGAUUACAGUUACAAACAUAUAAAAUGUGAAAGUCAAGUUAUUUCCAUGCAAAACCAAAAGCUUGUGUUCAUGCAAUCCUAAACAAACCAAAAGCAAAGAACAGCAAGCAAAAUGAAAAAGCAAAACCUAAUUUUAUCUGAAAAUGAUAAAAUUGUCUACCAUUAUUUUUUAAAGUUGAUAUCCCCACAUAAUGGUACAGACUCAAAUAUUACUGUAAACCAAAUUCAGGAUGGAUAGUCAAACCGUGCUAAUACAACCCUAAUGCUAUGAAUAAUGUAGUGGUAUGAGGAAUGAUAUGGUUUAAAAAUACAACAAAAGAGAAUAGAAAAGAUGAAAUAGAUGGAGACGGCAAAGUGAUUAUCAGCCAUAGGUAGCAUAUCAGCUUGGGAUCCAUGUCCAUGCUUUACUCUAAAGGCUCUGACUUAACUACUGAAUCCAUAAAUCGGUUAAAAGGUACUGUUAUGCAGAACAACAUUUCUAAGCCUAUAUAUCUACUGUAUGAUUAAUACAGCCUUUACUAUCAAUAUGCUUUAACAAGGUAAAACUAUGCUAAUUGCUCAGGUGGUAAAGUUAGUAAAGUUAUUCCAAGAUAAAAGUGUCUUACAUUUCUCAUGUGUCUUGUCACUCUGUAGGGAAGGGACAAUUUAAAAAAUUGUUAUGAUGAUCAAACACAGUGUUACAUACACCGUACAUAUACUAUAUUAUUAACUAACAAAUUAAGAAUAUUUACUGUUGUCUCUCUUUUAUAGGCACAUAAUAAUGCAUUUAAUGAUAACUGUUAAUGAUAAUGCUGAUAAAUAGAGUAAAUAAAUUAGAUUUUUUAUUUCAUAAUAUUUGUAAAGAAAUAAAUGUACCUCCUCAUCUGCAUCCUGAUCAGAAUCAGAGUCCUAAUUAGAAGACAAGAUCAGUUAAUUUAGUGCAGGACAUGAACCAAUCUAUGUACUUAUAUAUAUAUAUACAAUUCUAAAACCAAUGAAUUCUUACCUUUGAGUAUGUGGGCAGAGUGAUGUUCAGAUUACAGAUGGCAUUGUGUGUAAGACUUCUGUACGUACGAGGCUCCUUUGUGAAAGACAAUCUUCCACAAGGUUCUUGAGCGCUAUCUCGAAUCUGUUGAUAAAUCAAGUUUAUAUGUUGUGAACAGUCAGGAAUGCAGAGGUAGUGGCAUUCUAAUAGAAACAGUCAUAUAACUUUGGAAAAAAGAAUGCUUGAAAGUCCAUCUCACCUUGAUGAACAGUGCCAAGCGGUUCUCUUUGAAGGCAAAGAAGCUGAAGACAUGAUGUUGACCACUCUUGGUAAGAGGCACCAGGUUUCCAAAACAGUCAGCAAAGAUUGGUUUCCCCUCUAAAACCUGAGAAACAUACGACUGGAAUUUACUUCACACCCACACACUCUAUACUGUGAACUUUAGUGUAGACUGGGAGAGAGGCUCAGGGCAGCAAGGGUGCCCAUCAGCAUUACCCCCGUCACACUGUCCUCCCCUCAGCUCUUUCUCUUAUGGCCUAUUCCCUUUACUUGUGCAAACCAGUUGGUGAACUAUGGUGCUUUCAUGACCCACAGUGCUAUGUUCAUGGGUUCAGUGUAAACAUUUUAGAUGUGUACCUCAACAUCUCGACUCCGUGCCACCUCUGUGAAGUUCUCCUGCUGCUCCAGUGUCUUGUCCAUUUUGUCGUCUGUCAUGCAGAAGCAUCGUAACCGGGCUUCUAUGGGGUCCAGUGUUUUGGCAAAGAUAACAAACUUGGCCAUGUAUGGAACACAGAUCAUUUCCCGGUAUAUCUGGGUAGAGAAGUUCACAGACUCCUGGAUCUGUCGGCAGUCAAUCAACCAGAAUCUGUGAGGCGGG